Molecule: microRNA precursor, 100 nt
Filed under: Mus pahari (shrew mouse)
Lineage: Eukaryota; Metazoa; Chordata; Mammalia; Rodentia; Muridae
Description: miRNA (MGP_PahariEiJ_G0006531.1)
Source: RNAcentral
UGGAGCCAGCCUGGUCUACAUAGCAACAUCUAGGCCAACCUGUCUCAAAAGCAAAACAGCAGUCUUACUACGUAGCCCUAGAUGGUCUAGAACUCCCUAU